RNAcentral lists this long non-coding RNA (518 nucleotides) under Homo sapiens (human). Its description in RNAcentral is "non-protein coding lnc-NPSR1-1:1". Lineage: Eukaryota; Metazoa; Chordata; Mammalia; Primates; Hominidae. The record is from RNAcentral.
AUUUUUUAUUGCUCAUUUACACCCUUGUCUUUCAGAUUGAAGAACUUCCUUUAGGAUUCUUGUAGGAAAUGUUUGGUGUUCAUGAAAUCCUUCAGCUUUUGUUUUGUCUGGGAAAAUCUGUAUUUCUCCUUCAUGUUUGAAGGGCAUUUUCACUAGGUAUACUAUUUAAGGAUUUUUUUUUUCUUCAUCACUUUAAAUAUGUCAUGGUGCCACUCUCUCCUAGCCUGUAAGGUUUCCACUGAAAAGUCUGCUUCCAGAUCAACUUUUAUUUUACAUUCAGUGAAUAUGUGUGCAGGUUUCUUACAAAUGUAUAUUGGAUAAUGCUGAGAUUUGAGGUACAAUUCAACCUGUCACUCAGGCUGGAGUGCAGUGGCGCGAUCUCGGCUCACUGCAGGCUCCGCCUCCCGGGUUCAUGCCAUUCUCCGGCCUCAGCCUCUCGAGUAGCUGGGACUACAGGCGCCCACCACCAUGCCCAGCUAAUUUUUUGUAUUUUUUUUAGUAGAGACUAAAGGUUUCAC